CAUGCAAGUCGAACGAGCGAGAGAGAGCUUGCUUUCUCGAGCGAGUGGCGAACGGGUGAGUAACGCGUGAGGAACCUGCCUCAAAGAGGGGGACAACAGUUGGAAACGACUGCUAAUACCGCAUAAGCCCACGACCCGGCAUCGGGUAGAGGGAAAAGGAGCAAUCCGCUUUGAGAUGGCCUCGCGUCCGAUUAGCUAGUUGGUGAGGUAACGGCCCACCAAGGCGACGAUCGGUAGCCGGACUGAGAGGUUGAACGGCCACAUUGGGACUGAGACACGGCCCAGACUCCUACGGGAGGCAGCAGUGGGGAAUAUUGCACAAUGGGGGAAACCCUGAUGCAGCGACGCCGCGUGGAGGAAGAAGGUCUUCGGAUUGUAAACUCCUGUUGUUGAGGAAGAUAAUGACGGUACUCAACAAGGAAGUGACGGCUAACUACGUGCCAGCAGCCGCGGUAAAACGUAGGUCACAAGCGUUGUCCGGAAUUACUGGGUGUAAAGGGAGCGCAGGCGGGAAGACAAGUUGGAAGUGAAAUCCAUGGGCUCAACCCAUGAACUGCUUUCAAAACUGUUUUUCUUGAGUAGUGCAGAGGUAGGCGGAAUUCCCGGUGUAGCGGUGGAAUGCGUAGAUAUCGGGAGGAACACCAGUGGCGAAGGCGACCUACUGGGCACCAACUGACGCUGAGGCUCGAAAGUGUGGGUAGCAAACAGGAUUAGAUACCCUGGUAGUCCACACCGUAAACGAUGAUUACUAGGUGUUGGAGGAUUGACCC
This 770-nucleotide ribosomal RNA is filed under the name uncultured bacterium. RNAcentral describes it as "bacterial SSU rRNA". It matches the Rfam family "Bacterial small subunit ribosomal RNA", at positions 54 to 838 of the family's 1533-position model. The record is from RNAcentral.